Long non-coding RNA from Musca domestica (house fly), 340 nucleotides. RefSeq lists it as uncharacterized. Lineage: Eukaryota; Metazoa; Arthropoda; Insecta; Diptera; Muscidae. The transcript has 2 exons. The record is from RefSeq and is a predicted model, not a curated record.
AUAAAAGCCCUGAAUAUGGUUGCUGAAAUCAUACAGUAUUCUUUUAACUAUUCAAACAACACAAACAAAUAUCAAAAUGAAAACUUUCUUUGCCGUCGUCGCCGUUGCCGUCAUGAACUUGCUGGCCAUUGCUUCAGCUGAACCCCUCUUGAAUGCCUUGCCUUUGGAUGCCUUGAGCAGCUUGACUGGUGGCAAGUGAGAAGCUUGACAAUUUAGCUAAUUGUUUAACAAAGAAAGGAAAUGGAAUAUGGCGAUGGACAAGGACAUGAAUUAUAACUACAAUAAACUUUGUUAAAUACAUAACAUUAUUUGAGCAAUAAAUUCAAGAAAAUUAAAAAAA